This 497-nucleotide ribosomal RNA is filed under the name uncultured bacterium. Its description in RNAcentral is "partial 16S ribosomal RNA". It matches the Rfam family "Bacterial small subunit ribosomal RNA", at positions 28 to 507 of the family's 1533-position model. The record is from RNAcentral.
GAUGAACGCUGGCGGCGUGCCUAAUACAUGCAAGUCGAGCGAACGGACGAGAAGCUUGCUUCUCUGAUGUUAGCGGCGGACGGGUGAGUAACACGUGGAUAACCUACCUAUAAGACUGGGAUAACUUCGGGAAACCGUAGCUAAUACCGGAUAAUAUUUUGAACCGCAUGGUUCAAAAGUGAAAGACGGUCUUGCUGUCACUUAUAGAUGGAUCCGCGCUGCAUUAGCUAGUUGGUAAGGUAACGGCUUACCAAGGCAACGAUGCAUAGCCGAACUGAGGGGGUGAUCGGCCACACUGGAACUGAGACACGGUCCAGACUCCUACGGGAGGCAGCAGUAGGGAAUCUUCCGCAAUGGGCGAAAGCCUGACGGAGCAACGCCGCGUGAGUGAUGAAGGUCUUCGGAUCGUAAAGCUCUGUUAUUAGGGAAGAACAUAUGUGUAAGUAACUGUGCACAUCUUGACGGUACCUAAUCAGAAAGCCACGGCUAACUACGUG